GUGUAUUUUGGAUUUUAACUCUUUGUCUGUCACAUCAUUUGCAAAUAUUUUCUCCCAUUCAGUACAUUGUCUUUUCAUUUUGUUGUUGGUUUCUUUUGCCAUGAAAAAGCUUUAAGUCCAAUUUGUUUAUUUUUUUAUUUCUUUUGCCUUAGGAGACAAAUCCAAAAAAAUAUUGUCAUGAUCUAAAAUGUCAAAGAGUGUUCUAAGUUCUCUUCUAGGAGUUUUAAAACUUCAGGUCUUCCAUGUAGGUCUUUAAUCCAUUUUGAGCUUAUUUUUGUAACUAGUAUGAGGAGCUGUUCUCAUUCUUUAACAUAUAGCUAGCCAGUUUCUCCAGCACCAUCUAUUGAAGAGACCAUUGUGUAUGCUUGCCCCCUUCGUCAUAGUUUAAUUGACCAUAAAUAUGUGGGUUUUUUCCUGGGCUCUAUUCUGUUCCAUUGAUCUGUGUAUCUGUUCUGUGCCAGUACCAUGAUGUUUUGAUAACUAUAACUUUGUAAUAUAGUCUGAAGUCAUGGAGGGUGAUACCUCUAGCUUUGUUCCCCCCCCAACCACCAGGAUUGCUUUGGCAAUUUGGAGUCUUUUGUGGUCCUGUAUAAAGUUUAGGAAUAUUUGUUCUAGUUCUGUGGAAAAUGUCAUGGGCAUUUUGAUAGGGAUUAUAUUAAAUCUGUAGAUUUCUUUGGGUAGUAUGGCCAUUUAAGAAAUACUAAUUCUGGAGUUCCCGUCAUGGCACAGCAGAAACAAAUCUGACUAGGAACCUUGAGGUUGUGGAUUUGAUACCUGGCCUCAAUCACUGGGUUAAGGAUCUAGCAUUGCCAAGAGCUGUGGUAUAGGUUGCAGACACAGCUUGGAUCCUGUAUUGCUGUAGCUGUGGUGUAGGCCAGCAGCUGUAGCUCCAAUUCAACCACUAGCCUGGAACCUCCACAUGCCACAGGUGCAGGCCUAAAAAGAAAAAAAAAUUAGUUCUUCUAAUGCAAGAGCACUGGGGCCUUUGCCCUAAAGGAAGGGAGUGCUGAAUGAUGGAAUUUGUGUGCUCACAGAGGUACGAUGCACUAUCUGUGUCGGUGCCUGUGGCUCUGCUCAGACACAGCCCAGUGUUGCAUCUUUUCUCUUACUGUUGUAGUCCCAGAUCUAGUACUAUGUUGUGUGGGCAAUGCUAUAGCAUUUGCUCAGCUAGGACAGGAAUCGUAUUGUGUUGGUUGUAGGAUUUAAGCAGCUGUACUGGUGUUGGAAGUCUGGAAUGCUUCUGGGAUCUCUGCUUCAGCACCAACAGUAGGUGCUGCUGUCCCACUUGGAGCACACCCUAAGUCUGCAGGUUGUCUCUGCAUCCCUAGGUCAAGUCUUUCCCCAGAUACAGCUGCACUAGAUCCAUUGCUAAUCUGUGGCAUGGAAUUAGCACAGCCCAAGUGUUCACUCAGCUGAGAUUGGGGAGUGUGGUGAGGUAGUGCCUACUAAGCCAGACCUCUCCCAACCCUGUCUGUUGGCAAGUCAGCACCUGCACACUCCUCAUGAAUGGAGUCUAGUCAUCUCCAGCUUUUCUCUCUGUCCCAGUAUUUCUCCAAGCAGCUAAAGUGGUUUGUCUGCUCCACCUAGGACCCCAGGUCUGGGAUGCCAGUCUGUGGCUUGACCCGCUCACUCCCCAGAGCAAGCAUCUGCCUGUGCGAAUCUCCUGUUUCCUUUUUUUCUUCUUCCAGAGGCACAGGUCUCAGUCUGGUGUUUUUCUUCCCAUUCUAGCCAAUUGCAUGUGUAUCUCUCUUGCAGCCUUAAUUGUAUAGGAUUUUUUUCUGCCAGUUUCCAGUCAGUGUUCCCUGAGAAUUGUUCCACCUAGAAUUGUAUUUUUGAUGUGUUUUGGGGGAGAGGUGGGCUCCACAUCCUCUUAUUCAGACAUCUUAAUUACCCUUCUCUAUUUUAAUUUUAAUGUUGCUUCUUUUACUUUUAAAUUUUAGAAAAAUAAGCAAAACUUCAGUGUGCAAAGAGAACAGAAUCCCUAGGCAAAGUUUAGAUGACUUAGUCUAGCCUCCUCCCAAUAAAGACGUUUACCUCUAUUGCUGAAAUACAUGAAUGUAUGCAAUAUAUCUCACUAAAAUGAAGAGAAAAAAUUAUAGACACUAAAUUUUAUAGGAUCAUUAUAAGCAAUUAAAAUUUCAUAUCUAAGUAAUUAUUUUUGAAACCAGAUUACCUUAAGAACUUCCCUAUGUCUUCAAAUAGAAAGUCAAAAUAAACAGUAAAUUUAUAAUUAUGGUAAUUUUGAAGUAGAGAUGAGGGUUGACAAUAAUAUGACAUUUAUGCAACAAUUGUAAUAUUACAGAAUCUGUGAUUUCUUCUGAUGACAGUCUUUAAUUGUUAAUGUGGCUAGUCACCUAUAUUGAAUAUUGAAAGAAAUACUAUAUUUUGAUAAGAGGUUGGUGAAUUUAAAGAUUCAGUUUUUUUUUUAUUCAAGCUCAUGUUCCCCAGAUUAAGAAGCCUAGACAGUAAACAUCUAGUUUGUUGCAUGUUACCCAGAUUUCAAAGUUGAUUCUUUAGCUGUUUUAAAUCUGUGCACCAAAUCUCCAUUUCAUUUUGUUCAGUGUCAUCAAAGCCUUACUUUCUCAAGUCUAACAAAUAUAGAUGAAAUAGGAAUUUAAAAAAUUAGAUACUUUGAAAACAUGAGACUAACUUUUUAAUGACCUUUCUUUGGAGUUUCAAACGCCAAAUUCCUUUGGCUGAAGUAACCAAAGCUAAGGAAUGCUAAUUACAUUAGCAGUGCUUCUGGUACUGAGGGGGGAAAAAUGGUAAAACUGAACUGAAUUAAACUGUUUUGGAGAAUUUAUUUCAUCUCUCAGCAAGAGCCUACCUAAAAAAUACAAGUAAAACACAAGUAAUAUCAUCACAGUUCUUGAGAUUUCCCUUUAAUGAAGUAGUUGAAUGAGAAGCAACAAUUAACACUUCAAAAAAAAAAAAAUAGAAACCUAGUUAAUAGUACAUAUUUUGCUUCAUAUAGACUUCCACCAGACUUAAACUCAAUGGAAAAAGUAAAACCCAAUAAUUUUACAAUUGACUCAUAACUCCUUUUGACUUGUAGUGAUUAAUUAAUGUUAUUUCCCCCAGUUUGUUUCUGCAUUUGAAGUUACUGUUGGACAAAAUAAUAAAAGAUUCCACUGAAUGGUUCACUAAAAAAAAACCCAGAAAACAAUUAACACUUCAAAACAUACCAUUCAGUAUAGACGCAUUUUAUUUUACUACAUUAUGCUUUUUAGGAAACACUUUUAUCCUGGUUUUAGGUUUUCAUUCAAUAAAAAGGUUAAUCUUAGUAGAAUGAGUUGGUCCCUAGUUGGCUGUAUACACAUGCCUUUGUUUACUCAAAUUUAUUCUGUACCUGCCAUGGGCCAGGUACAGCAUAACAUUAUAAAAUCUUUACAAGGCUUCCUGUAAACAAGUCUGUUAUCAAAAAAUGUAACAUAUCUCAGUGAGCUCCUUAAGAGAAAUUAAUUUUUUUACUACAUUUGCCUAACUACAUUUGCCUAUCUACAAAUUGUCAUGUAUAAGAAUCUGCAUUUUUUUCAGAAGUUGAAAUAGAUAUAUCAUCAAUACUAAAUGUUUCUCCAGAGAAAGAGUCUUGUAUUUAUUUAAAUUUAUCUACAAAGAAAACACCAUUGCAUUUUAUUUUAUUGUGCAAAAGUGUUGAAAUGAUUUAAAAAUAAAAAUUAUCUCCCCUUUCUCUAACAUAUUCCUUUCAUUUAUUGGUUUAUUUAUAUAUUUAUAAAUUUUAUUGGCAUAUAGUUGAUUUACAAUGUUGUGUUAGUUUCAGGUAUUCAGCAAAGUGAAUCAUAUAUAUAUACACAUACACAUACAUAAAUACAUUCUUUUUUAGAUUCUUUUCCCAUUUAGAUUAGUGGAGAAUAUUGAGUAGAGUUCCUUGUGCUAUAUAGUAGGUUCUUAUUGAUUAUCUAUUUUAUAUAUAGUAGUAUAUAUAUGUUAAUCCCAAACUCCUAAUUUAUCCCU
RNAcentral lists this long non-coding RNA (3975 nucleotides) under Sus scrofa (pig). RNAcentral's name for it is "lncRNA (ENSSSCG00000055858.1)". The record is from RNAcentral. Lineage: Eukaryota; Metazoa; Chordata; Mammalia; Artiodactyla; Suidae.